AGCCCAAUGGCCGCGUGCUUUCACUGCAAGUCGAACGGUGAACACGGAGCUUGCUCUGUGGGAUCAGUGGCGAACGGGUGAGUAACACGUGAGCAACCUGCCCCUGACUCUGGGAUAAGCGCUGGAAACGGCGUCUAAUACUGGAUAUGUGACGUGAUCGCAUGGUCUGCGUCUGGAAAGAAUUUCGGUUGGGGAUGGGCUCGCGGCCUAUCAGCUUGUUGGUGAGGUAAUGGCUCACCAAGGCGUCGACGGGUAGCCGGCCUGAGAGGGUGACCGGCCACACUGGGACUGAGACACGGCCCAGACUCCUACGGGAGGCAGCAGUGGGGAAUAUUGCACAAUGGGCGCAAGCCUGAUGCAGCAACGCCGCGUGAGGGAUGACGGCCUUCGGGUUGUAAACCUCUUUUAGCAGGGAAGAAGCGAAAGUGACGGUACCUGCAGAAAAAGCGCCGGCUAACUACGUGCCAGCAGCCGCGGUAAUACGUAGGGCGCAAGCGUUAUCCGGAAUUAUUGGGCGUAAAGAGCUCGUAGGCGGUUUGUCGCGUCUGCUGUGAAAUCCGGAGGCUCAACCUCCGGCCUGCAGUGGGUACGGGCAGACUAGAGUGCGGUAGGGGAGAUUGGAAUUCCUGGUGUAGCGGUGGAAUGCGCAGAUAUCAGGAGGAACACCGAUGGCGAAGGCAGAUCUCUGGGCCGUAACUGACGCUGAGGAGCGAAAGGGUGGGGAGCAAACAGGCUUAGAUACCCUGGUAGUCCACCCCGUAAACGUUGGGAACUAGUUGUGGGGUCCAUUCCACGGAUUCCGUGACGCAGCUAACGCAUUAAGUUCCCCGCCUGGGGAGUACGGGCGCAAGGCUAAAACUCAAAGGAAUUGACGGGGACCCGCACAAGCGGCGGAGCAUGCGGAUUAAUUCGAUGCAACGCGAAGAACCUUACCAAGGCUUGACAUAUACGAGAACGGGGCCAGAAAUGGUCAACUCUUUGGACACUCGUAAACAGGUGUGCAUGGUUGUCGUCAGCUCGUGUCGUGAGAUGUUGGGUUAAGUCCGCACGAGCGCACCUCGUUCUAUGUGCAGCACGUAAUGGUGGGAACUCAUGGAAACUGCCGGGGUCAACUCGGAGGAAAGGUGGGGAUGACGUC
This 1138-nucleotide ribosomal RNA is filed under the name Microbacterium maritypicum. RNAcentral describes it as "bacterial SSU rRNA". It matches the Rfam family "Bacterial small subunit ribosomal RNA", at positions 32 to 1186 of the family's 1533-position model. Lineage: Bacteria; Bacillati; Actinomycetota; Actinomycetes; Micrococcales; Microbacteriaceae. The record is from RNAcentral.